Molecule: ribosomal RNA, 253 nt
Filed under: uncultured bacterium
Lineage: Bacteria
Description: partial 16S ribosomal RNA
Rfam family: Bacterial small subunit ribosomal RNA
Source: RNAcentral
UACGUAGGGUGCGAGCGUUGUCCGGAAUUAUUGGGCGUAAAGAGCUCGUAGGCGGUCUGUCGCGUCGGAUGUGAAAAUCCAGGGCUCAACCCUGGACCUGCAUUCGAUACGGGCAGACUAGAGUUCGGUAGGGGAGACUGGAAUUCCUGGUGUAGCGGUGAAAUGCGCAGAUAUCAGGAGGAACACCGGUGGCGAAGGCGGGUCUCUGGGCCGAUACUGACGCUGAGGAGCGAAAGCGUGGGGAGCGAACAGG